RNAcentral lists this ribosomal RNA (254 nucleotides) under uncultured bacterium. RNAcentral describes it as "partial 16S ribosomal RNA". It matches the Rfam family "Bacterial small subunit ribosomal RNA", at positions 524 to 776 of the family's 1533-position model. The record is from RNAcentral.
GACGAACCGUGCGAACGUUAUUCGGAAUCAUUGGGCUUAAAGCGCGUGUAGGCGGGCCGCCAUGUCGGGCGCUGAAAUCUUCCGGCUCAACCGGGGAAUGGGCAUCGAUACGGGCGGUCUGGAGGGGGGUAGGGGGGCCUGGAACUUCCGGUGGAGCGGUGAAAUGCGUUGAGAUCGGAGGGAACGCCCGUGGCGAAAGCGAGGCCCUGGACCCUUACUGGCGCUGAGACGCGAAAGCCAGGGGAGCGAACGGG